This 234-nucleotide long non-coding RNA is filed under the name Panax ginseng (ginseng). Its description in RNAcentral is "long non-coding RNA (PGIN_LNC018856)". The record is from RNAcentral. Lineage: Eukaryota; Viridiplantae; Streptophyta; Magnoliopsida; Apiales; Araliaceae.
GUCAGCCGAAAAGAUAAAUUUGUCCACCUUUACCAGUACAUCUUCAACAAUUCCCCAUGGAUAUGUGAUGGAUCUGUCAACUAGCUGCAAUGAAAUGUUUGUUGGCCUUGAAGCCGGCAAUCCCAACUGAUUAAACACUGGCAAAGGCAUCAGAUUGAUACUUGCCCCAAGAUCACACAAACAUUUAUCAAAAUUCAUCUUUCCGAUCGUACAUAGAAUUGUGAAACUGCCCGG